UACAGAGGUCUCAAGCGUUGUUCGGAUUCAUUGGGCGUAAAGGGUGCGUAGGCGGCGCGGUAAGUCGGGUGUGAAAUCUCGGAGCUUAACUCCGAAACUGCAUUCGAUACUGCCGUGCUUGAGGACUGGAGAGGAGACUGGAAUUUACGGGGUAGCGGUGAAAUGCGUAGAUAUCGUAAGGAAGACCAGUGGCGAAGGCGGGUCUCUGGACAGUUCCUGACGCUGAGGCACGAAGGUCAGGGGAGCAAACGGG
RNAcentral lists this ribosomal RNA (253 nucleotides) under uncultured bacterium. RNAcentral's name for it is "partial 16S ribosomal RNA". It matches the Rfam family "Bacterial small subunit ribosomal RNA", at positions 524 to 776 of the family's 1533-position model. The record is from RNAcentral.